RNAcentral lists this ribosomal RNA (498 nucleotides) under uncultured Thermomonosporaceae bacterium. RNAcentral describes it as "bacterial SSU rRNA". It matches the Rfam family "Bacterial small subunit ribosomal RNA", at positions 8 to 526 of the family's 1533-position model. The record is from RNAcentral. Lineage: Bacteria; Bacillati; Actinomycetota; Actinomycetes; Streptosporangiales; Thermomonosporaceae.
AGAGUUUGAUCCUGGCUCAGGACGAACGCUGGCGGCGUGCUUAACACAUGCAAGUCGAGCGGAAAGGCCCCUUCAGGGGUACUCGAGCGGCGAACGGGUGAGUAACACGUGAGCAACCUGCCCCUGACUCUGGGAUAAGCCUGGGAAACUGGGUCUAAUACUGGAUAUGACCAGCCUCCGCAUGGUGUGUUGGUGGAAAGUUUUUCGGUUGGGGAUGGGCUCGCGGCCUAUCAGCUUGUUGGUGGGGUGAUGGCCUACCAAGGCGACGACGGGUAACCGGCCUGAGAGGGCGACCGGUCACACUGGGACUGAGACACGGCCCAGACUCCUACGGGAGGCAGCAGUGGGGAAUAUUGCGCAAUGGGCGGAAGCCUGACGCAGCGACGCCGCGUGGGGGAUGACGGCCUUCGGGUUGUAAAGCUCUUUUACCAGGGAUGAUAAUGACAGUACCUGGAGAAUAAGCUCCGGCUAACUCCGUGCCAGCAGCCGCGGUAAUAC